GGGGAAUAUUGCGCAAUGGGGGCAACCCUGACGCAGCAACGCCGCGUGAGUGAAGAAGGUUUUAGGAUUGUAAAGCUCUGUCUUUGGGGACGAAACAAAUGACGGUACCCAAGGAGGAAGCCCCGGCUAACUACGUGCCAGCAGCCGCGGUAAUACGUAGGGGGCAAGCGUUGUCCGGAAUUACUGGGCGUAAAGGGCACGCAGGCGGUAUAAUAAGUCAGAUGUGAAAGUUUACAGCUUAACUGUGAAAGUGCAUUUGAAACUGAUAUACUUGAGUCUCGGAGAGGUAAGCGGAAUUCCUAGUGUAGCGGUGAAAUGCGUAGAUAUUAGGAGGAACACCGGUGGCGAAGGCGGCUUACUGGACGAGUACUGACGCUCAUGUGCGAAAGCGUGGGGAGCAAAC
Molecule: ribosomal RNA, 403 nt
Filed under: uncultured bacterium
Lineage: Bacteria
Description: bacterial SSU rRNA
Rfam family: Bacterial small subunit ribosomal RNA
Source: RNAcentral